AUUGAACGCUGGCGGCAGGCCUAACACAUGCAAGUCGAGCGGAUGAAGGUAGCUUACUACCUGAUUCAGCGGCGGACGGGUGAGUAAUGCCUAGGAAUCUGCCUGGUAGUGGGGGACAACGUUUCGAAAGGAACGCUAAUACCGCAUACGUCCUACGGGAGAAAGUGGGGGAUCUUCGGACCUCACGCUAUCAGAUGAGCCUAGGUACGAUUAGCUAGUUGGUGAGGUAAAGGCUCACCAAGGCGACGAUCGUUAACUGGUCUGAGAGGAUGAUCAGUCACACUGGAACUGAGACACGGUCCAGACUCCUACGGGAGGCAGCAGUGGGGAAUAUUGGACAAUGGGCGAAAGCCUGAUCCAGCCAUGCCGCGUGUGUGAAGAAGGUCUUCGGAUUGUAAAGCACUUUAAGUUGGGAGGAAGGGCAGUAAGUUAAUACCUUGCUGUUUUGACGUUACCGACAGAAUAAGCACCGGCUAACUUCGUGCCAGCAGCCG
This 494-nucleotide ribosomal RNA is filed under the name uncultured bacterium. RNAcentral's name for it is "bacterial SSU rRNA". It matches the Rfam family "Bacterial small subunit ribosomal RNA", at positions 30 to 517 of the family's 1533-position model. The record is from RNAcentral.